AUACAAGCCAAAUGACAAGAAAAAAACUUAAUUAAAAGCUUAAACUAGGCCCUAUAAGUCAAUUUUCUGGGGUGUUCUUCUCUUAAACUAGGCCAUAUAAGUCAAUUUUCUGGGGUGUUCUUCUUCUCUUGAGAAGCCACGGCAGCAGUACCUCCGGAGCUUCCGGAAUUUCCAGAAUCACCCGGGCUUUCAGAACUCCCGGUCGCUGGUGUUCCAGGGGUUGCUGGUGAUUCAUCCCCCAUUGUGUUUUUUUUGGUGGGUUUCUGAUCACAUCUUGGCCUUUUGUUAGUGUGGGCAUUAAGUUUGUCAAUAGACUCGAACUUAUCCCCACACCUGCUGCAAGUAUACUCCACCAUUUGAGGGGAAGGGAGUACGUCUGCAGCCGAAGAGAGGAGGGGAGGAACGAGGCUUCUUAUCCCUCCUGGGCCUGGGAGCUUAUGUAUCCUGCUUGUCUUGAGGUCCAGACGCAUGUAAAUCCCACAUUAGAUGGGUUCCAGGAAGUUUGGAGAUAUGAUGAUCAUUACGGCAGAAUGUUAUUAUUAUUAUUAUUUUAUUUUUUAUUUUUUAUUUUUUGGCGGCUGCUGAUGAUAUUAUGACAAUUAUGUUGUGAUCUAUCUCCGCCUGGUUUGUUCUGCUGAAAAUAGGUGCCUCCAACAACAUAAUUGUGCAUUAGGAUGAAAACUUGUUUUGGCUUCUGUUCUUAUGAUAGAUUUGUUGGAGAUUGAAGGUGAUCAGAGUAUCUACAUUGCAGAUUAAUGCAGAUUUGUCUGGAGGUCCCAAACAGUUAGAAUACCACAGCUCUGUUUCAGAGAUGGAUGGAGCUUGACUCAUGCUUUUCUCUUCUCUUUUCCAGAGUGUUCAGCAUGCAAUAUAUGUGGAAGAACGCAUUUUCAUCUUAUGCAGCUUUGUUUUGUUGCUUAGAAGCUAGAUGUGAAGUGCAAUGCCAUCUUAUUGUCUGUUUUUUUAUGGCACAAUUGUCAAAAGAUGCUAGUCUAUGUAUGUUAUUUCUAAGUCUAUGAAAAUUCAUUCUCCGUU
Dioscorea cayenensis subsp. rotundata (Guinea yam) is the source of this 1035-nucleotide long non-coding RNA. RefSeq lists it as uncharacterized. NCBI's taxonomy places the organism in Eukaryota, Viridiplantae, Streptophyta, Magnoliopsida, Dioscoreales, Dioscoreaceae. The transcript is spliced from 5 exons. The record is from RefSeq and is a predicted model, not a curated record.